This 444-nucleotide ribosomal RNA is filed under the name uncultured bacterium. RNAcentral describes it as "bacterial SSU rRNA". It matches the Rfam family "Bacterial small subunit ribosomal RNA", at positions 331 to 792 of the family's 1533-position model. The record is from RNAcentral.
CCAGACUCCUACGGGAGGCAGCAGUGGGGAAUAUUGCACAAUGGGGGAAACCCUGAUGCAGCGACGCCGCGUGAGUGAGGAAGUAUUUCGGUAUGUAAAGCUCUAUCAGCAGGGAAGAAAAUGACGGUACCUGACUAAGAAGCCCCGGCUAACUACGUGCCAGCAGCCGCGGUAAUACGUAGGGGGCAAGCGUUAUCCGGAUUUACUGGGUGUAAAGGGAGCGUAGACGGAAUAGCAAGUCUGAUGUGAAAACCCGGGGCUCAACUCCGGGAGUGCAUUGGAAACUGUUGAUCUAGAGUGUCGGAGAGGCAAGCGGAAUUCCUAGUGUAGCGGUGAAAUGCGUAGAUAUUAGGAGGAACACCAGUGGCGAAGGCGGCUUGCUGGACGAUGACUGACGUUGAGGCUCGAAAGCGUGGGGAGCAAACAGGAUUAGAUACCCGUGUA